Long non-coding RNA from Daphnia magna, 361 nucleotides. RefSeq lists it as uncharacterized. The record is from RefSeq and is a predicted model, not a curated record. The transcript is spliced from 2 exons. Lineage: Eukaryota; Metazoa; Arthropoda; Branchiopoda; Diplostraca; Daphniidae.
CCUAAAUUAUGACUGACUUUUUAAAAACAGGUUUUGUGAAAUACGUAUUCGCCUCAAGACGUAAUAGCCUACCUGAACGUGCUCUAAAACAUUGACGUUGCCACACUCACGCACGAAUAACUGCAACUGAAUUGAAUUUUUGGGUGAAACUAUCCUGUAACGAAAGAGCCCUAAUUUCACAAAAUUGUUGCGGGGGAACAGUAAUCCACUGGCGGGAUAAUCGUACCAUGGCACCGGCGUCCAUCAAUCCGUAUCCAAAUGAAUGACUCACUGGUAAGACGUUUGAAAGAAUACGUGUGUUAACUAGAUAGUAAUUUUCUCAACAAAAAAAAAAUGAUAAUUAUAAUACCAUUCCGACCAA